AACGAGGCCGACCUGCGGCUGAGUUACCUGCGGAGGGAUCAUUACAAGUGAUAGAACCGCCCCCCGGGGCAUCUCUCAUAACCCUUUGUUGUCCGACCACGUUGCCUCCGGGGCGACCCUGCCUCCGGGCGGGGGCCCCGGGUGGACAAACCCAAACUCUUGCGUAACUUUGCAGUCUGAGUAAACUUAAUUAAUAAAUUAAAACUUUCAACAACGGAUCU
This 221-nucleotide unclassified non-coding RNA is filed under the name soil metagenome. Its description in RNAcentral is "partial contains 5.8S ribosomal RNA, internal transcribed spacer 2, and large subunit ribosomal RNA". The record is from RNAcentral.